UGCCAGCAGCCGCGGUAAUACGGAGGGGGCUAGCGUUGUUCGGAAUUACUGGGCGUAAAGCGCGCGUAGGCGGGCUGGUCAGUUGGGGGUGAAAUCCCGAGGCUCAACCUCGGAACUGCCCUCAAUACUACCAGUCUAGAGUUCGGGAGAGGUGAGUGGAAUUCCUAGUGUAGAGGUGAAAUUCGUAGAUAUUAGGAAGAACACCAGUGGCGAAGGCGACUGUCUGGGCCAUUACUGACGCUAAGGUGCGAAAGCGUGGGGAGCAAACAGGAUUAGAUA
This 279-nucleotide ribosomal RNA is filed under the name uncultured bacterium. Its description in RNAcentral is "partial 16S ribosomal RNA". It matches the Rfam family "Bacterial small subunit ribosomal RNA", at positions 506 to 784 of the family's 1533-position model. The record is from RNAcentral.